This 217-nucleotide unclassified non-coding RNA is filed under the name Hevea brasiliensis (rubber tree). Lineage: Eukaryota; Viridiplantae; Streptophyta; Magnoliopsida; Malpighiales; Euphorbiaceae. The record is from RNAcentral.
CCAUCUUGACAGCUACGGAAUUUUCCUGGUUUAGUUACUUUUGCACCAGACAAGCCCCGCAAUACUGCUGUGAACACAUCAUGAAUGAGUCCCUUAUAAGAUGGUUCUAACUUGUCCUUGUACUUUGUGCUCAAAAGGUCUUCAUUGAUUGACAAUGCAUUUUGGACCACAUUGUCAGUGUCAAACUGCAACACAAUGUGGGGAUACAAAGUUUGCC